CCUGAUGCAGCGACGCCGCGUGAGGGAUGACGGCCUUCGGGUUGUAAACCUCUUUCAGCUCCGAAGAAGCGAAAGUGACGGUAGGAGCAGAAGAAGCACCGGCUAACUACGUGCCAGCAGCCGCGGUAAUACGUAGGGUGCAAGCGUUGUCCGGAAUUAUUGGGCGUAAAGAGCUCGUAGGCGGUGUGUCGCGUCUGCUGUGAAAACUCAGGGCUCAACUCUGAGCUUGCAGUGGGUACGGGCAUACUAGAGUGCUGUAGGGGAGACUGGAAUUCCUGGUGUAGCGGUGAAAUGCGCAGAUAUCAGGAGGAACACCGGUGGCGAAGGCGGGUCUCUGGGCAGUUACUGACGCUGAGGAGCGAAAGCAUGGGGAGCGAACAGGAUUAGAUACCCUGGUAGUCCAUGCCGUAAACGUUGGGCGCUAGGUGUGGGGUCCAUUCCACGGAUUCCGUGCCGCAGCUAACGCAUUAAGCGCCCCGCCUAGGGAGUACGGCCGCAAGGCUAAAACUCAAAGGAAUUGACGGGGGCCCGCACAAGCGGCGGAGCAUGCGGAUUAAUUCGAUGCAACGCGAAGAACCUUACCAAGGCUUGACAUGCGCGGUGGAAUCCCAGAGAUGGGGGUGUCAUUUUAGUU
This 634-nucleotide ribosomal RNA is filed under the name Kineococcus sp. Ri2Pt_3899. RNAcentral's name for it is "bacterial SSU rRNA". It matches the Rfam family "Bacterial small subunit ribosomal RNA", at positions 382 to 1025 of the family's 1533-position model. Lineage: Bacteria; Bacillati; Actinomycetota; Actinomycetes; Kineosporiales; Kineosporiaceae. The record is from RNAcentral.